RNAcentral lists this long non-coding RNA (1061 nucleotides) under Trifolium pratense (red clover). RNAcentral describes it as "long non-coding RNA (TPRA_LNC012127)". Lineage: Eukaryota; Viridiplantae; Streptophyta; Magnoliopsida; Fabales; Fabaceae. The record is from RNAcentral.
UCAAGUAAUAUAAAAAGUAUCGAAUCCACAGGGAUUGAGAUUAACUUAAACUAAAACAAUUUGCUUAAUACUUAGGAGAAAAUAAAAUGACAUUUGGGGGGAUUUGCAUAGCAUAUGAUUAACACUUAAAAGUAAAAAGGUUCAAAUUCAACAAUUAAAGAAAGUGAUUGGGUUUAUUUCAAAUCCCUCGUAUUUCACUAUGGAUGUUAGCGUCUAAUACCCUUGUGAUGAUCAAUUCAAUUACCACGACGGUUUAACUAAGCCACUAUACCCAUUCUCAUGGUGUAUAACUCACUAUUUUGCACUAUAAUCACCUAAUAUCUUAGGCCAAUUGAAUAGUUAAAAUAGGCAAACAUUGAACGUUAAACAAUAAGUCACAACCUCCAAUUCUCUAUUUCUAAAUCAAUUAUAAGAUUGAACAAUCAAUUUAGGUCCAAUUCAUAUGAUUAAUCUCUUAAUCAAUAUGAAUCUAAAUCAUUACAUGAACAUUUAUCAAUACACAUAAAGCAUUAAACAUAAAUAUUAAUUGAAUAGNNNNNNAAAUAAAAACAAAAGGGGAAAAAGAAAAUAAAACCAAAGAGGAACAUGAUGGUGUCACUUUAUCUCGUAGGCAUUCCUCUUCUUCUAUCCAUGUAGUGCUCCCUUCCUUUCUUUCUCUAUUCCCCUGCUGCAGCUCCAGUUCCUCUCUCCGUUCUCUUUUUGCGCAGCCAGCCCCCCUUCAUUUCAUGUGGUGUUUUCUCUUUUUUAAACACAUGUCAACACCUCAUUGGAAGAAUAGAGGAAAAGCCCACAUGUGUCUUUCUUUAAUUGGGCUAGCAUGGUCAAAUGUCUUUCUCUUCUUUUACUAUUUGCACCACAUUUAACCAUAAAUCUAUUAAGUUGAACCAACAAAAUAAAACUACACAAAAUAUUGUUUUAAUCGAGAAAAACACUUAAUUGACUCAAUAAACCAAAAAUUGCAAUUUAUUUAAAAUCACUCUAAAUUAAACACUAAAUUAAUAAAAUGGUAUUAAGAACUUAUUAAAAAGACUCUAAAAAUAGCGACUGAUGAAGAUCUCAUC